UUGGGGAAAAAUUAGUAUAAAAAAUAUUAUUAAAAAUAAUUUUAAUGUAAAAUAUUAUAAUGGGGGUUAAAGUAUUUUAUAAAAAAAAAAUUAUAUAAUUUAUAGUAAAUUAGUAUUGUGAAAGAAUUUUGAAAUAGUUGAAAAUUAAUUAUAAAAAAAGUAAAUUUAAUUUAUUGUAUCUUGUGUAUCAGAGUUUAUUAAUAAAAAUUUUUUGAGUAAAUAAUUCUCGAAUUUAAAAGAUCUAAUUAAUUAAUAAAUUUAUUGUGGCAAAAAUAUUUUUAAUAAUUAAUUAGAAAUGAGAUGUUAAUCGUUUUUAAAUAUAUCUAGUUUUUUUAGAAAAAAAUUUAAUUUUAAAUUUAAUUUAAUUAAAAAAUUUAAUUAAAAAAUUUUUUUAAAUAUUAAAUUUGAUAUUUUAAGGGAUAAGCUUUAAUUUAAAUUUUUAUAAUAAAGUUAAAAUUUUUGAAAAUUUUAAAAUUUAUAUUGUUUAAAAAUUAUAAUUUUUUAUAAAUAAUUUCAAAUAAAAUAAAAUUUAAUUUAAUAAUUUAAUUUUUUAUAAAAAAAUAAAAUUUAAUUUUUUUUAUUUAGUUAUAAUGAUAAAAUUAGUAUAAAUAUAAAUUAUUAAUUAAGUGAAAUAUUAAUAUACUUGUAAAAUUAAUUAUAAGGAAUUCGGCAAAAAUUUAUAUUCACUUGUUUAUCAAAAACAUGUCUUUUUGAAAAUAAUUUAAAGUCUAAUCUGCCCACUGAUGAAAAAUUAAAGGGCUGCAGUAUUUUGACUGUACAAAGGUAGCAUAAUCAUUAGUCUCUUAAUUGGUGACUUGUAUGAAAGAUUGGAUGAGAUAUAAUCUGUCUUAUUAUUAUUAUUAGAAUUUAAUUUUUUAAUUAAAAAGUUAAAAUGUAUUUAAAAGACGAGAAGACCCUAUAGAGUUUAAUAUAAAUUUUGGUUAUAAAUUUUUUUAUAAAUAUUAAUCAAGUUUAAAUUAAUUUUUAUAUUUUGUUGGGGUGAUAAAAAAAUAAAAAUAACUUUUUUUAUAAUUUAAAUAUAUAUAUAUAUAUAUAUAUAUAUAUAUAUAUAUAUUUAUUAAACAUAAAUAAAUGAAUAAAUGAUCCAUAAAUUAUGAUUAAAAGAUUAAAUUACCUUAGGGAUAACAGCGUAAUUUUAUUUUUUAGUUCAAAUAAAAAAUAAAGUUUGCGACCUCGAUGUUGGAUUAAGAUAAAAUUUAAAUGCAAAAGUUUAAAAUUUUGAUCUGUUCGAUCAUUAAAAUCUUACAUGAUCUGAGUUCAAACCGGUGUAAGCCAGGUUGGUUUCUAUCUUUAGAAAAUUAAAAUAUUUUAGUACGAAAGGAUCAGAUAUUUGAAAUAAUUUCAGUUUAAUGAAUUUUAUUAAUUUUUUUUUAAAAAUAAUUUAAA
Molecule: ribosomal RNA, 1407 nt
Filed under: Eudemis lucina
Lineage: Eukaryota; Metazoa; Arthropoda; Insecta; Lepidoptera; Tortricidae
Description: 16S ribosomal RNA
Source: RNAcentral